Molecule: non-coding RNA, 189 nt
Organism: Oryza punctata
Lineage: Eukaryota; Viridiplantae; Streptophyta; Magnoliopsida; Poales; Poaceae
Source: Rfam
UUUAUACGCAAUCAUAAGUUUUCAUUCAACUUUAAUCGUCUAUCUUAUUUUAACUUUUCUAUGAUUUAUAUUUUUAUUGUUACUAAAUGAUAAAACAUGAAAAAUAUUUUAUGCGUGAUUUUGUUUUUUAACUUUUUAAAUAAAAUAAAUGAUUAAAAUUGGAUACGGAAACUCAUGGUUGUGUUUAAA